UUUCCUGCCUGUAGGUUGAAUUUCACAGUCUGUUAAAUUUAGAACUUAUUUGCUGAGUUACAAUCCUGUGUUAACAAGUCGUAGUAUUGAGUGCCUAUUAGCAUAAUAAACCAUGAAGUAAUGUAGCAUGUUGCAACUGGCCACUAGUACCACAGUGUACAGUUUGGUGAAAGAAAAAAGAAUAGAAACUCAUAUAUUGUCUGGUUAUAUAAUAAUUGGUUUUGUUAAUGAUUUUUUCAUUUCAGAUACUCUUCAAGCCAUUUCAUUCAACUAGAUCUUUGUGGUCUCUACAAUCUGAGCAAAAACUGUUUUUGGGAUACUGUGUUGCAAUGCAUGUCAGGUAUCUACCCAUCCCACGGUACAUUCGAAAGAGCGACAUUGUACUGAAUUGAACGAGGAUAAUCAUGUAGCCAAUUAAGUUACCCAAGAUAUCUAAGGAAGGAACUAUUGUUGCAGAACUGCCAGAUAUCACCAGCAAGUACAUUCUCCUAGUCUACCAUCUCAGAGUGAUGGUGACACUUGGUAUCUUAUUAACCUUGAUUGGCUCCAUUCAUGCCAAACAUAUGCUGGUUGGGAUCCUAAUGAUGUUGCAGCUUGCUCUUUUCUAGAAAUACUAUGGAACUGUUGCCCCCUUGUACCCGUCUGGUAAUCUGGUUGCUUCACGUCAUAGCACAUAGAUGUCGUUGCGUUCAUGGACCAAUUCGAUCUCUUACGAGAUGGCGGCUGCAAAACCACUGCGUUACUGAUUUAUUUCGUACAAGAAACAAGGCUUAACAGUGGUUUUUACCUUUUUGGUAAGUUGAUCUCCUGUAUGCUCAACGGCUCUCGGUGUUCGUGAAGUUCCCAAUAGAUUUAAGAAGAAAAAAGUUACACUAUCAUUAAAAUUGAACACCGAUUUCGCUUAAGUUAUUGGCUUUCUCGUCAACCCACGGAAUGCCAAAUUACCCCAAAAACUUUCAACACCCCAGGGAGCACCAUUAUUUAUUUAUUUACUUUUUUUUUGCAAAUAAUCAUCAAUAAAUAGCGUCAUCUAACGAUACAAUAGGAGAAACUUGAAUUGCUAUAGAAUAUUCAUUAUAAUUUUUCUUUAAAGUUUUUUAUCGAUUUCAUCGUUUCCAAUAGACAAUCAGACGAAUUUGUGACAUUAGAACGAAGGAUUUGAUACGUGUUAAGCGGGAGCCGAUAAAUGUUCGCCUUCCAUUUUAAUCAUUCUUUUGGCUACUCGUUAAUCCACAGAAAUUUUAAAUUUUUGGUACCAAACCUGAAGGACACUUUUUCACAAAUGAAGAUUUAUUCCACAAUCUUCAGCUUCCCAGGCAGACACCCACCCACAAAACCAUGGGGUGAUGCAUGAUAUAUAAAUUUAUUAAUUAAAAAAUGUAUAUUUUAGGUUAUUGAUCAGAGUCAGAGAACAAUGUGUGGAAUCUGAUAUUCUAGUCCUGGAAACCCCAGGUGCCUUUCUGCUUCAAUUAAAGCAAUUAUAAUUUCUCGAGGUAAAGACUGAAACUAAAAACAAAGCACAGACAUUUUUUAGUUGGCUUUUCCGCUUAAUGUUAUUGUUACACUUAAGUUUUGGAAACAUAAAAAUGUAUACAAAUGUUCAGGGUCAAAUCGAUCAAAUGGUAGAGCCAAAAACGAACUUUAUGUUACCUUUGAACAGGUCCUAACUCGUGUACGCGGUUGAUGCCACACUACACGACACAGCAUCUUGCCAUUCACACGAAUGCCUUUGUCUUAUCUGAUCGUGUUGACAUGCUAAUUCGUUCUUGCCACUGACCGAAGCCUUUUUGUCAAAUUUUGCAUCUUUCCAAAAUUUAAUCACACAAGUAUUCUGGCAUGCGUCAGGCAACGGAUUACAGGAAUGGUAUGAUUCCCUUUUGGUGUUGAGCCUGGCCUACACUCUCGGUUCUUGAAAAUGUUUGUCCAUGUUAUAGCUUUGGCAUCCUGAAGGAUUUUGUUCAUCUAUUUGUUCUUGUUUUUCUUUUGAUUAGGUGUUGGAACAAGUAAUUACAUGGAGCUGGAGUGUCAAUUUGGGAACUUGAUUUGUCAUCUGUUGGUUGAGGUGGAAAAACAGGGAUUGGACCCACCAUUUUAUUUCCACACUUAUCAUUGGAAUUCUGGGAUGGUAGCUGUUGUUGCAUGACACUCUCCUUGGUUUGUUUGUAACGUUCCAGAAAGCAGCAUUCCAUGAGGCAAGAAUAUCAUUUGCCGGUCGUCAACACCAUACAGAUUGUUUAACUUUGUUUUCUUGCCUUGAUGGUGAAAUUGAAUUAUAUUGAAAUUUAAAAGUGUUUGAAUCUAUUUGCCUAGUAGUGAGAAAACAUGUAAAGAGCUGCUGCAAUGUGUCAACAGAGCAAAAUGCAAAACUUGGAUUGAA
Daphnia magna is the source of this 2377-nucleotide long non-coding RNA. RefSeq lists it as uncharacterized. The record is from RefSeq and is a predicted model, not a curated record. NCBI's taxonomy places the organism in Eukaryota, Metazoa, Arthropoda, Branchiopoda, Diplostraca, Daphniidae. The transcript has 7 exons.